Chinchilla lanigera (long-tailed chinchilla) is the source of this 524-nucleotide long non-coding RNA. RefSeq lists it as uncharacterized. NCBI's taxonomy places the organism in Eukaryota, Metazoa, Chordata, Mammalia, Rodentia, Chinchillidae. The record is from RefSeq and is a predicted model, not a curated record. The transcript has 3 exons.
CGUGAACACCCGCAGGGCAGUGCCCAGCAGAGCCCUAGCUUGGUCAGAGACGCAUUCCUGGAUGCCAUGUCUGCAGGUUCUUGAGCUGCCAGGAGAUAAGCAGCUUUCCUCCUCCUAGGCCUUCCGCCAUGAAGUUCUGCUUCAUGACAGCUCACAAACAACACAGCCAAGUAACCAUGAACUGAAGUAACCAUGAACUGAAGCCUUUGAAACUGUCAGCCAAAUGAUUCCAACUUGCUUCAAGGACUUCAAGGACAUCCUGUUUGGGGAAGACUGGCCCAGUCAAGGACACUUUCAAGACUCUAACUAUUCUUCUCAGACUCCCUCUCUCCCAGAAUUCUGCCUGACAAUAUAUGACAUAAUUCUUGCAUUCCGUGUAACCAAUCAUGUAAUAAACUCCUAUAAGCUUUGUACUUCACACUGCAAACCAUAUUUAAACUGAACUCAGACUUGACUCUGGGCUGGUGAUUUGAACCUCUGGGUUCCUCAGCCUGCUAGCAUAAUAAAAGUUUCCUUGUAACUCC